GACGAACGCUGGCGGCGUGCUUAACACAUGCAAGUCGAACGAAGAGCGACGGAAGCUUGCUUCUAUCAAUCUUAGUGGCGAACGGGUGAGUAACGCGUAAUCAACCUGCCCUUCAGAGGGGGACAACAGUUGGAAACGACUGCUAAUACCGCAUACGAUCUAACCUCGGCAUCGAGGAUAGAUGAAAGGUGGCCUCUACAUGUAAGCUAUCACUGAAGGAGGGGAUUGCGUCUGAUUAGCUAGUUGGAGGGGUAACGGCCCACCAAGGCGAUGAUCAGUAGCCGGUCUGAGAGGAUGAACGGCCACAUUGGGACUGAGACACGGCCCAGACUCCUACGGGAGGCAGCAGUGGGGAAUCUUCCGCAAUGGACGAAAGUCUGACGGAGCAACGCCGCGUGAGUGAUGACGGCCUUCGGGUUGUAUAGCUCUGUUAAUCGGGACGAAAGGCCUUCUUGCGAAUAGUGAGAAGGAUUGACGGUACCGGAAUAGAAAGCCACGGCUAACUACGUG
RNAcentral lists this ribosomal RNA (510 nucleotides) under uncultured bacterium. RNAcentral's name for it is "partial 16S ribosomal RNA". It matches the Rfam family "Bacterial small subunit ribosomal RNA", at positions 28 to 507 of the family's 1533-position model. The record is from RNAcentral.